Apodemus sylvaticus (European woodmouse) is the source of this 811-nucleotide long non-coding RNA. RefSeq lists it as uncharacterized. The record is from RefSeq and is a predicted model, not a curated record. Lineage: Eukaryota; Metazoa; Chordata; Mammalia; Rodentia; Muridae. The transcript has 2 exons.
UCACUCCCUUCUUGGCCUCAUCUCUAGGUGCCCGUCUCUCCCUCCAGCGCCCCCAGCCCCUGGAGCCCCUGGAGCUUCUUGAAUGGCCAGGCACUUCCCGAGAACAUUGCUUCUGUGUUGGUGCAGCAUGGACCAUGUCCUCCAGGUGUCUCCACAGUCUCAGAGAAUCUCAUUGACCUCCCUGUCUGAAAACACAUCAUCCACAUAUAGGCCCUCUCCAGCCCUUGCUUUUAUACUCCCAUCCUGAGAGAGUCCACAUCUAAAGUACUCCAGUGUGCUCGCCUGACUAUCCACCUCACCAGAGGCCCACAGGACUGUCUUCUGAGAAACACCAUGAGAGGACACUUACCAGAAGACCAGUUUCCUGAAAGAGAACUGCAGGAGUGAACUGCUCACAGGACUUUCAAUCAUCUGAGAAGUUUGUUAUUGGAAAGAACCAUCUUCUGGUGAAGUGAAUCAACAGAGCAUCGGAUCACCAAGCUCUGAACCUACUGCAUCUCCUCGCGGAGCCCUGAACCUAUGGUGCAUCCCCCGCCCCUCAGAGGCAGGAUUCAAGGUCAUUGUGGUAUAAAUAGGAACUUGACAAAUAAUACCAGAUCUCUUCCCAAUUCAAGGGAAAACACAUGAAAAGAAAACAGAGGACUGGAGAGAUGGUUCAGCGGGUAAGAGCACCGACUUCUCUUCCAGAGGUCUUGAGUUCAAUUCCCAGCAACCACAUGGUGGCUCACAACCAUGUGUAAUGGGAUUUGAUGCUCUCUUCUGGUGUGUCUGAAGGGAGUGACAGUGUACUUACAUUAAAUGAAUAAAUGAA